Molecule: ribosomal RNA, 460 nt
Filed under: uncultured bacterium
Lineage: Bacteria
Description: partial 16S ribosomal RNA
Rfam family: Bacterial small subunit ribosomal RNA
Source: RNAcentral
CCUACGGGAGGCAGCAGUGAGGAAUAUUGGUCAAUGGACGAGAGUCUGAACCAGCCAAGUAGCGUGAAGGAUGGCUGCCCUAUGGGUUGUAAACUUCUUUUAUAUGGGAAUAAACUGUUCCACGUGUGGGAUUUUGUAUGUACCAUAUGAAUGAGGAUCGGCUCACUCCGUGCCAGCAGCCGCGGUAAUACGGAGGAUCCGCGCGUUCGCCGGAUUUAUUGGGUUUAAAGGGAGCGUAGGUGGAUUGUUAAGUCAGUGGUGAAAGUUUGCGGCUCAACCGUAAAAUUGCAGUUGAAACUGGCAGUCUUGAGUUCAGUUGAGGUGUGCGGAAUUCUUGGUGUAUCGGUUAAUUGCUUAGUUAUCACGUAGAACUCCGAUUGUGAAGGCAGUUCACUGGUCUUCAACUGACACUGAGGCUCGAAAGUGUGGGUAUCAAACAGGAUUAGAUACCCUUGUAGUC